This 460-nucleotide ribosomal RNA is filed under the name uncultured bacterium. RNAcentral describes it as "partial 16S ribosomal RNA". It matches the Rfam family "Bacterial small subunit ribosomal RNA", at positions 338 to 795 of the family's 1533-position model. The record is from RNAcentral.
CCUACGGGUGGCAGCAGUGAGGAAUAUUGGUCAAUGGACGAAAGUCUGAACCAGCCAUGCCGCGUGCAGGAUGACGGCUCUAUGAGUUGUAAACUGCUUUUGUAUUAGGGCAAACACCCCUACGUGCUGGGGCUUGAAAGUAUAAUACAUAUAAGGAUCGGCUAACUCCGUGCCACGAGCCGCGGUAAUACGGAGGAUCGAAGCGUUGUCCGGAUUUAUUGGGUUUAAAGGGUGGCUAGGCGGUUUGUUAAGUUAGAGGUGAAAUACCGGUGCUCAACACCGGAACUGCCUCUAAUACUGUUGAACUAGAGAGUAGUUGCGGUAGGCGGAAUGUAUGGUGUAGCGGUGAAAUGCUUAGAGAUCAUACAGAACACCGAUUGCGAAGGCAGCUUACCAGACUAUAUCUGACGUUGAGGCAUGAAAGCGUGGGUAGCAAACAGGAUUAGAUACCCUAGUAGUC